GGACGGGGUGGCGGGAGCGGUGGUGUUGCUGUGUGAAGUGCAGGGGUGAGGGGACGCGCUGCAGCUGCCGUGGAGCCCAAGGGGCCGUGGUGUGAAGCAGCUUCCCAUUCACUGUCCCUGCUCGCUGCGCGGCACGCUUGGAGCUUCCCAGGACGUUUUUUUGUCAGUUUGUUUGUUUCCACUUGAAGUUCACCUGAAAAUUACACUCGUUAGGCUACCAGGCGUUAGCAGCUGAUCCAGCCAGCCCUGCUAGCUGCGCCGGGUUGCAGCCUGAUGCCGAGCUCUCAGCAACACCUCGGUCACACACGCAUCGCUGCGUGCUGACACAGCCCUCGCCUUCCUGUCCCUCAGCUCAGCUCCUGACACGGCUGCUUUAAUUAAUUCCCUCCCGCUCACUCGCAGCACCCAGCAGUUGCACGAGGAGCUGUUUGCCACAGUCUCGGUGGAAUAGAUUGCUCCAAGUCAUUGGCAUAUCUUUCUAAUUGCUCGUAAACAUAAAGGGAAGUUAGAAUCGUAAAUGCCACAUGCAGUGCCGCAAACGAAUGUCUGCUAUGGGCACAGCUACGAUUCGCUGACACCUCGAUUCCCUCCCUUGAGAAUGAGUGCUAAAAUACGUUUGCACUGUGCGGCGUGAGGACACCCAAGCCAGCACGGUCUCCAGAUCAAUACAACUGCAUUAGUGAGGCACAUGGCUCUGAUAAUUCAUCCUGCAGAAGAAAGCUGUGCUGGUGAGGCCCUGCUGCUUCUGGGAUUAGUAGUUCCCUCAGAACUAUUUCAAGAAGACGUCCAACAUGGCGCUGUGUUUUUGGAUGGAUCAGCAUUUUUGAUUGAUCGGGGUCUUCUUCAUAUCAGUCCUUGUAGGAAGUAGUUCCAGAGCCACAGUGAGGGCUUAUUCCAUUUAGCUGGAGAGGACAUUCUGAGGAGGACUAGGCCAGUAUCUUUUGUAAAGCUCGCUAUGAAGAGAACACGACUUACCUUUCUGUGAGACACGAGCAGAACAGACUGCCAGCCGUGGUUCUUGCUGUGAGCUGAGGAGUUCGGUGCUUGGGGCAUCUGCCACGAAGGAGAAGUAAAACAGGUCCGCUCUUUCAGAAGACAGAAUGAGGUCUGCUUUACUAGAAAUCAAGGCUGCCUUCCUGCUUCUAACUGAAAUGCCUGUAUGGGGAUCUUAAGAUUUAGCACAUCGGAAAAGCAGUGGGCUAAGAUAUUUUUGUAGGUAGUAACUAACUACCAUCUCCCUCAAAUCUCACUUUAGAGAAAGUCUGCAAGGGUGGAUCAUUAACAGAACCUGUGAAGAACGCAUGCAUAUUUGUCAGCAGACAAAAAGUAGCUGCAUCUCCAAGAAAUACUGAAGAUUUGUAUGGCAUAGGAAUCACUUCAUUAUGAGCAGAAGCAAGUCUUGAAUAUGAGUAAUGGAGUACAGAUAGGCAACAGGACCUUCAGAAAAAGUACACAAGAGCAGAAGCUUAGGCAAACACAUUUGUACAGUGAACAGAUUCAUGGCACCUACAAAAUGUCAGAAAAAGCGACUAACAAGAUGGUAAUGCAACACCUACAGACAGCCCAUCUGCUCACCUAGGUAUCCAGGCCAAAAAGAACUUGGGCAACAUCAAAAACAAGAAUUAAGUCUUCCCAUAAACUUGCCUGAUCAUGAAAACUGUGAUAAGAAAAUGAAGACAAAGUUGGGAUUUUCUGUUUUCUUUUUGUAUUUUCCCAUUGGGAAGCAAAGACAGAAAAUGACUGACACUGUUACAGGGAAUAACUCUUGAAAUACUGGAAUGGUAAUAAGUGCCUGAUGAGAAUAAAGACCUGAGGCAGAAUGAGGCUGUUCAGUGGGAAGGAUCAAAACAGCAGUGGCCAUUAACGCCGAACAAAUACAAAAGUUCAAGCUAAAGGAACCUGGAAACAGAGUAGUCAGACACCAUACGAGAAAGCAGACAUUGUGGUUCAACAUAUCCGCAAGAGGAAGAAAAAUGUUUAGCCUGAAAAUAUUGCUGAGAGUUGCGUGGACAAAGUAUCCCAGUGUUUGUUCUCUAAAGAAAAUGAAAGUUGAAGUACUUACAAUCACAUACAGCGACUACAAAUGAAAGAAGAACCGACAGUGUGUGACAAGAUUCUCUCCAGUGUUCUCCAUGGGCACAUUUAAUAUCCAGAAAAAGCUGACUGCUGCUUUUGCCACUCUGCUCUUAGACCGGUGGCCAGCUGGGUUCUGCUCGCUGGCAGAGCUGCAAUUUUACUCCAGCAUCACUGAUACUCAACUGUAUUUGAAAGGAGAUAGGUGACUCUGAGAAGAGAACUUUAGCUUUUUGAGACCGGUGGAUAAUUACUGGCUUUCAAAACAUUCUUCGCAAGAAGAUGUAUUGUUGACUGAAUUUUUUAACAAGUGGCACAGAAGAGCCCUGCCUUCCAGGAAAUCUACCUCUCGAAACAGCUGAGUAAGGAUCUCAGAUGAGCCAACAGAUUGACUCAUCGUAGAAAUGUUUUGCUUUUUUUUC
Long non-coding RNA from Numida meleagris (helmeted guineafowl), 2495 nucleotides. RefSeq lists it as uncharacterized. Lineage: Eukaryota; Metazoa; Chordata; Aves; Galliformes; Numididae. The transcript is spliced from 4 exons. The record is from RefSeq and is a predicted model, not a curated record.